RNAcentral lists this unclassified non-coding RNA (926 nucleotides) under Hevea brasiliensis (rubber tree). The record is from RNAcentral. Lineage: Eukaryota; Viridiplantae; Streptophyta; Magnoliopsida; Malpighiales; Euphorbiaceae.
GUUCACACCAUUUUCUCUCCUAAAUAUACAAUAAAUCAUAAAUCACAAUUUUUUUUUUCUCAAAUAAUUAUCACAAAGCAUCAUUUUUAUUUGGAUUAUUAUUAUUAUUAUUAGCAACAAAACCAGAAAAUGGAGCAGCAAAUCGAGAUGAGAAAUUACGUAAAAGCCCAUCAUCAUCUUCCCUACCAUCACCACCGCCAUUGUCGAAAUUGAGAGCAUAACUAUCUGAAUCAUACUGAAACUGCGUCGUUUUGGCUGAAGAUUUCUUAGGAUUACAGUAUUUUCCGAUCUUCCUCACCAAAUUCUUCCAUUUGGGUCCAGCUAUAAGUUCAGAAUACUCUUUCAAUUCCUUCAUAUUUUUCACUAUCCAUGAAUCUCUGUUUUCUCUUUCAUGGAGGAGAGAAUUUGCUUCUCCUUCUUUUUGGGUUGAUGGGAAACAGGGGAAUCUGAAACAAGCGCACCAAAUUGAAGAGGGUUCUUCGUGAUAAUAGGAAUAAUCUGUUCCUUCUUGGGCAGUUUCUCUGAUAGGUGAAUAAGUGUUGUUCAUCAUUUUACUUGAUCAAAAAUCGAUCUGGGUGUGUGUGUUUUGGGGUAUAUCAGGUGUUCUUCGUCUUGCUCUGUUUAAUAUUCUUGCAAAUUCAGCUGAAAAUCGAUCUGGGUGUUUGUGUUUAGGGGUAUAUUAGCCGUUCUUCGUUGUGCUCUGUUUAAUAUUCUUGAAAUUUCAGCUAAAGUUACGAUCUUGGUGUGUUCUUUUGGGCGAUUUCGAGGUGAUGGUUGUGUAUCUUAGCUGUUCUUCUUUGUGCUCUGUUCUUGAAAAUUCAGUGGAAAAUCGAUAUGUUGGGGUGUUUGAGAUUUGGGGUUCUGGGUUUGGGUGCAGUGGGGGUGGGGUGGAAGAUGAACGGUGGUGGAGAUGGAGAAAAAUGGUG